RNAcentral lists this ribosomal RNA (497 nucleotides) under uncultured microorganism. Its description in RNAcentral is "bacterial SSU rRNA". It matches the Rfam family "Bacterial small subunit ribosomal RNA", at positions 9 to 509 of the family's 1533-position model. The record is from RNAcentral.
GAGUUUGAUCCUGGCUCAGGAUGAACGCUGGCGGCGUGCUUAACACAUGCAAGUCGAACGAGGAAUUUUAAAUGAGACUUCGGUGGAUUUUAAAAUUCUUAGUGGCGGACGGGUGAGUAACGCGUGGGCAACCUGCCCUGUACAGGGGGGACAACAGCUGGAAACGGCUGCUAAUACCGCAUAAGACCACGGAGCCGCAUGGCUCAGUGGGAAAAACUCCGGUGGUACAGGAUGGGCCCGCGUUGGAUUAGGUAGUUGGUGAGGUAACGGCCCACCAAGCCGACGAUCCAUAGCCGACCUGAGAGGGUGACCGGCCACGUUGGGACUGAGACACGGCCCAAACUCCUACGGGAGGCAGCAGUGGGGAAUCUUCCGCAAUGGGCGAAAGCCUGACGGAGCAACGCCGCGUGAGUGAAGAAUUAUUUCGGUAUGUAAAGCUCUAUCAGCAGGGAAGAAAAUGACGGUACCUGACUAAGAAGCCCGGCUAACUACGUGCC